CCCCUAGACGUUCUGGGCUGCACGCGCGCUACAAUAAUACGCACAGCGAGUAUCACCGAGCUCGAAAGGGCAAGGUAAACAAUAGAAAAGGUACUGUAAUGGUUAUAGAUCCUUGUAAUUAUUGAUCUUCAACGAGGAAUUCCUAGUAAGUAUGUGUCAUCAUCACGCACUGAUUACGUCCCUGCCCUUUGUACACACCGCCCGUCGCUCCUACCGAUUGGGUGAGCCGAUGAAACUCUCGGAUGUAGGCUAUUCAUAGCCCGAAGAAGAGAUUUGAAUCGUAGCGCUUAGAGGAAGGAGAAGUCGUAACA
This 311-nucleotide ribosomal RNA is filed under the name uncultured eukaryote. RNAcentral's name for it is "partial 18S ribosomal RNA". It matches the Rfam family "Eukaryotic small subunit ribosomal RNA", at positions 1470 to 1796 of the family's 1831-position model. The record is from RNAcentral.